AUACGGAGGGUGCAAGCGUUACUCGGAAUCACUGGGCGUAAAGCGUACGUAGGCGGUUAGUUAAGUUAGAUGUGAAAGCCCCGGGCUUAACCUGGGAACUGCAUUUAAAACUGGCUAACUAGAGUUAAGUAGAGGGGAGUGGAAUUUCAGGUGUAGCGGUGAAAUGCGUAGAGAUCUGAAGGAACACCAGUGGCGAAGGCGACUCCCUGGACUUGAACUGACGCUGAGGUACGAAAGCGUGGGUAGCAAACAGGAUUAGAAACCCUAGUAGUCC
This 274-nucleotide ribosomal RNA is filed under the name uncultured bacterium. RNAcentral describes it as "partial 16S ribosomal RNA". It matches the Rfam family "Bacterial small subunit ribosomal RNA", at positions 523 to 796 of the family's 1533-position model. The record is from RNAcentral.